GACAAUCCACAUGAUGCAAAAAGUCAAGUGGCACAGAGGCAAUGUGGGAGCCAAACACACUGAGAGGCGAACACAUCACAAAGAUGAUGCUUGAAUCAGGCCUGAGAGACUCCUAUCGAUUUCUAUAUUUUUCCUGGAGUCAUCAUCUUAGUCAUUUCAUAUUUUCAGAAUUUUUAGAAUAUGACACAUCUUCCAUCCUAUGAUAUGUUACAGAUGACAUUUUUUUUAAUAAAAAGAAUUAGAUACAUACUCCUCAAAACAUGUUCCUCUCAAAAACUGUUAUGCAGACCACAAGAUGGCACCAAAGGAUUUAAAAUCAUAAACCUUGAAGGAGGAAGCAAGAAAAAAAACCUUGAUGGGAAUUUCAUCAGGAAACUCUAUUGUUCACCUUCAGAGAAACAGUAAGACUGUAUGUAUGGGAAAUGGUCGACUUCAGGGAGAGGUUUCAAGGGUAGCCAAAGCAUGUAACAUUAGCAUGGCUUAAAGGGCUCUGCAGAAAAGUCUCUCUGUGAGUAUGGAGGCAGGCACUCCUUAAGAGAAAUAUAUGCAUAAAUCAUUCUCCUUUGAACCAGCGUGUUCGUAAAAGCUGAAAAAGAUUCAAGGUUGUAAUCCUGCACAGAAAAUUAGAUGCAAAGGUACCGUCAGAAGCUUUUGCACUGGGUCUCAAAUCUUAUGUGUCUUCUCUUCCUUAAA
Molecule: long non-coding RNA, 693 nt
Organism: Podarcis raffonei (Aeolian wall lizard)
Lineage: Eukaryota; Metazoa; Chordata; Lepidosauria; Squamata; Lacertidae
Exons: 3
Source: RefSeq, a predicted model, not a curated record